AACAUCCAUUACGUACGGUCUAGAAAAUUCAACAGGAAAGUGGGUGCAUGCAUUGGUGCAUGUAUUAUUGUACAUGCACCCACUUUCCAAUUAAUAAAAAUAGAAUGGCCCAUGUUGCAUGGGCCCAUUGCCAAUGUGGGCUUAAUGCAAGCUCUCUCUUUUUUUUCUUUUUUUUGGGGAUAUUUUUUGUUUUUCGGAGUAUUUUAGCAGCAAACGAUGGUGAAGUCUAAGACUGCCUGAGACAGGGACUGAGACUAUCUACCAAACUUACCGAAGUGUUAGAAGCUUUAUAAGUUGCUGAUGAUGGCAUGAGAAAAAAAAAUUGACCCUGUGACACAAAGUAACCAAACGAUGGUGAAGUCUGAGACUGCCUGAGACUAUCUACCAAACUUACCAAAGUAACCAAACGAUGGUGAAGUCUGAGACUGCCUGUAGAUAGCGAUGGUGAUCCAAGCAACUAUAAAAAGCAUGGCUUUGUGGGUAUUUCAGAGCAGACGAACCUUAACCUCCAACUCCAAAAUCCCAAUAUUUCAACCAUGUUUGCCCCGUUGUUCAUGCUGUUUACCACCAUCAUCGCACUACUAAUUCCAACCCUCUCUUCAGAACCACCACCACCACCCCCCCUCCCCACAUUACCCUCCCUUACUCAGCCUCCACCACCGACAGUGCCAGCAUUUGAGAAUCCUCCAAUCCCACAAUUUCCCCCAUGUUGUCCCCCUUUCACUCCAUCACCACCAGAUGACUACAUAUGGCCUGCACGAAGUGAACCACAAUCAGUAUCCGUGUGGUUCGUGCUGGGGUGGAUCUUGGCUCUAAUAAUAGGAAUUAGCUUAAUCGCAUGGACGAUUUACAUUUGCCGCCUAAAAAUAAUAGGGCCGAAAGGGGACAAAGGGGACCAAGGGGAACAAGGGAAGCAAGGGCCUAAAGGGGACAAAGGGGACAAAGGGGACAAAGGUGACAAAGGCGAGAAGGGGCCGCCAGGGGAGAAGGGGCCGAAAGGGGAGAAAGGGGAUCCAGGCUGCAAGUGCCGCCACGGCUGCGGCGAGUGCAAUUGUUAGCUACAAGGAAAAGAUAACAUGGCCUUGGUAACUGACGGGCAUGUGCGAAUCUUGUGGAAUCAGCCAUCAUCUAAUAACAAAGACUAAUGUCAAAGUUUUGAAUUGAAUAUUACAAAUGCUAUAUUCAAUCGUGGGUUUACUAUGAGCUUUGAACAUUGGUUUUGAUGUGAUGUACUUGUAUGGUUUGGAAUAGUUGUUUUAAUUUGGAAUUAUAAUAUUUUGGCUUAUAAAUAAGGUUAGUGGUAUUUGUGGAAGUUUGGAGGUUAGUAUUUUGCGCUUGUUUUGAUAAUAAAUCAAACAAAGAGGAAAAAGCUUUUCAAUGGCAUGUGUUGCCUGAAAAAUGCUUUUAACAAGAUUGUUUGUUAUGCUUGGCCAUAUCCUUAGCUAUAUUCGAAAAGUGACUCUCUCAUUGAAUAAAAUGGAUUGUAUUGAAUA
Long non-coding RNA from Quercus robur (English oak), 1493 nucleotides. RefSeq lists it as uncharacterized. The transcript is spliced from 2 exons. NCBI's taxonomy places the organism in Eukaryota, Viridiplantae, Streptophyta, Magnoliopsida, Fagales, Fagaceae. The record is from RefSeq and is a predicted model, not a curated record.